Molecule: non-coding RNA, 734 nt
Organism: Peromyscus maniculatus bairdii (prairie deer mouse)
Lineage: Eukaryota; Metazoa; Chordata; Mammalia; Rodentia; Cricetidae
Source: RefSeq, a predicted model, not a curated record
UCUUUCAGUUUGCAUAUAUGGUAUAUUAUAUGGACAGACUUUCAUAUGUUGAACCAUCCUUGUAUCUCUGAGAUGAAGCCUACUUGAUUAACAUGGAUGAUUGUGUGAUACGUUCUUGAAUUCAGUUUGCUGUGUCCCAGGGAUGGUGUCAAGGGGCAGGACUCUUUGGGUAUGGAGCCUCAAUAUUCUUUCAGUUAACUCCUGGCCACAGGAACCAGAGAGGUGAACAUCGACCUUCAUUAAGGGGUAUUAUUGGCAUUGUUGCCCAAUGUCUGAUGGGGCUGAUUGCAGUAAUAUUUGUACUGGUUAUCCUAUCCUGUGGCACAGCCGUCGUGGCAGGGAGCCACAAAUUGAGAACAACGUUAAACAGAUGGACAAUGAGCCAAUCAACCUCAAUGAGCCAACCAACCUCAAUGAGCCAACCAACCUCAAUGAGCCAACCAACCUCAAUGAAACCUCAAAAGCAGCCUCAAAUGUGAAACCUCAAAAGAAAAAGAAGGCAAAAGUAAAUUCUCAAUCAAAGUACCAUCCCAGAACCAGUUAGAAAACAGCUAAUAUGAUGGGGUAAAAGGAUCAAAGGCUAAGAGGGGCUGGUUAGAUUGGAAAAGGAGGCAGCACCAAGAAAGGCAGUGGCAGCCAUGGUGUGAAUGCACAGCAAGGACACCAAGCAGCUCCCAGGAAACAUUGGCUGCCAGGGUCCUUCCCAACUGAGGAACCAAACAACAGUGACAGUG